RNAcentral lists this unclassified non-coding RNA (307 nucleotides) under plant metagenome. Its description in RNAcentral is "partial contains 5.8S ribosomal RNA, internal transcribed spacer 2, and large subunit ribosomal RNA". The stretch from base 1 to 105 matches the Rfam family "5.8S ribosomal RNA", at positions 50 to 154 of the family's 154-position model. The record is from RNAcentral.
GAAAUGCGAUAAGUAGUGUGAAUUGCAGAAUUUAGCAAAUCAUCGAAUCUUUGAACGCACAUUGCGCCCCUUGGUAUUCCAUGGGGCAUGCCUGUUCGAGCGUCAUUUCAACCCUCAAGCACUGCUUGGUGUUGGGCGUUUGUCCCGCCUACGCGCGUGGACUCGCCUCAAAGUCAUUGGCAGCUGUUCCCCUUCGGCUCGUAAGCGCAGCACAGUCGGCGCCCGGAGCUCUGGUGGGAUGGCGUCCAGCAAGCUAUAUUUUCAGGCUUGACCUCGGAUCAGGUAGGGAUACCCGCUGAACUUAAGC